AGUUUAAAGAUGCGUUACAUCAAAUUACAUUCAAAUUUAUAUAUUGGAGUUUAUGUAUGAUAGACGGACCGUCCCCCCGAGAGGGUUAAUCCGUCUCACAAGUGCACAGGUGUGUGUGGAUGAACAGAGAAGGCGUGCACAUGCCUCGGUGAAGAGGCCAGCGACAACCAACUCCGAUUUCAUUCAAUAAUGAUCCUUCCGCAGGUUCACCUACGGAAA
Molecule: unclassified non-coding RNA, 219 nt
Filed under: uncultured fungus
Lineage: Eukaryota; Fungi
Description: sequence contains ITS1
Source: RNAcentral